CCAUUACUCAAUGCUAGUCUGAUGAGAGAUUACUAGACCUGAUCCAUUUGGGGAUUUGGGUGCUUCUCUUCUCUCGUGCCAUGGAAAAUUUUACGAGUGCCGGGAGCAUGACAGCGUUGAUGUUCAUGUUUCAGGGACAUACACCCAACUGCCACGUAGACCCCCUCUCUCUACUUAAAUAUAAUCGCGUUUCUUUUCAAGUUGGUUCAUGCUUCAAUUCAACCAUGAGGCUUGUGUACCAGGGAGGUUCCUCAGCUGAGAUGUGAGAACAUUUUCCAGUUCAUACACUGUAUAAAGUUACUCAAUUUCUUCAUAUGCUGUCCAAGAUUCUUUGCUUAGUCUGCUCAACUAUCCAGCGUAUUAGUUUCUAUCUUUUCCAAUAUUUUAGCCCAAAAAAUUUGGGUCUUUUUGGAUCAAUCCCAGUUUUCUUAUUCCUUAUUUAGUUUAAUUUGUUUUGCAGGAAAAAGAAUUUUGCUUUAAUCGACUUCUCUCCUAAUGGGUUAUUUCUUCUCCGUCUCUCUCUGAUGUGGUUCAGUCCAAAGUUGCCCUUGAUCAACUAUUAGCUUGAUACUCAUUGACCAAGUUCCUGAAUCAUGAUUUACAAUUCAUGUUCUUGCGUUUCAGAGAGAAUUUGAUUGAGUUCCUUUAAUGGGUAUCUUGGUCUCUAUAUCUGAGAACAGAAGAUACAUAAUUUUCUUUAAUAUCUCAUUUCUGUUAGUGGCAUGCGUUUUCUUGAUUUUACAGUUCAACCCUGCUCGAUUUCUUGUUCCUAACAGUGCACAACCGUCUAAUGACGAUAGUCAACAGGACUGCAAAGGGUUGGAAAGUCUAGAAGACUACCGAGCCAAGUGCCAUUACCUUAAAUCACAUAUUAAUCCUUGUGUCUCUGAAGGUUAUAUUGACUAUCUCCACCUUUUCUAUUGCAAUUUUGGAAGAAUUCCUCUUUUGGGCCAUUGUCUUCUAUUUCUCUGGCUUCUAGUGUUGUUCUAUUUGUUAGGGAACACAGCCUCUGAAUACUUUUGUUCUUCCCUUGAAAAUUUAUCCACUCUAUUGAAACUAUCCCCUACAAUUGCUGGGGUUACUCUCCUUUCUCUUGGCAACGGUGCCCCAGAUGUAUUUUCCAGUCUGGUAUCCUUUAUGGGUAGUGGGACAGGUGAUAUUGGCUUCAAUACAGUGCUAGGUGGUGCUUCCUUUGUUACCUGUGUUGUGGUUGGAAUCAUGAGCAUUCUGGUGAAGCAAAAGAAGAUCAGGGUUAACAAAGUUGCUUUUGUUAGAGAUGUUUGCUUCUUGCUUUUGGUUCUUGCAUCCUUAAGUUUCAUAUUGGUUCACGGAGAAAUCAAUAUUUGGGGUGCAAUGGGAUUUUUGUCCAUGUAUAUUUUCUAUGUGGUUGUUGUUUACUCCUCAGACACCCACUGGCGUAAAGGAAAGGAAGAUGAUAGUUCAAGUUACUGCAGUGACUUGAGCAUACCCAUUUUAAGCGGCAUGGGAAAAGAGGAGGUAAAUUUUGUGGAGGAAGGUGCUUUAGAAGGUGUUGCUGAGGUAGAAAUCAAUAAGUGUUGCUUUUGUUUAAGAUUACCUGCUCCUUGCCUUAUGCUUAUUAGCAUACUUGAGAUGCCCCUUUACUUGCCUAGGAGAUUGACAAUUCCUGUUAUUUGUGAAAAGAGAUGGUCUAAGCCAAUUGCUGUUGCUUCAGUGACACUGGCUCCAGUUCUGUUAUCAGUUCUUUGGAAUCCCCAGGAAGAUGAUGCCGGUUUUGUGAAUAGCCUAGUGGUAUAUGGAAUUGGGCUCUUAUUUGGAAUAAUAUGUGGGGUUAUUGCAUAUGCUAGAACUGAGAAUUCAAGCCCUCCAAAGAAGUGCCUAUUUCCUUGGCUUGCAGGAGGGUUCUUAAUGAGUGUGAUCUGGAGUUAUAUCAUAGCUCAGGAAUUGGUAGCCCUAUUAGUUUCCCUUGGAUAUAUAUUUGAAGUAAGUCCUUCAAUUCUUGGGCUAACAGUUCUUGCCUGGGGCAAUUCAGUAGGGGAUCUGAUAGCCAAUUUGACCAUGGCCUUGAAUGGCAGUCCUGAAGGUGCACAAGUAGCUAUAUCAGGGUGUUAUGCAGGUCCCAUUUUCAACAUCCUUUUUGGUUUGGGUUUGUCUCUUGUUGGCUCAUCCUGGCAUCAAUAUCCAUCUUCUGUUGUGAUCCCAAGAGAUUUAUAUCUGUUGGAGACAUUAUGCUUUCUGGUGGCAAGCUUGCUCUGGUCUCUUGUUAUCUUGCCAUGUAGAAACAUGAAGCUUGAUAGGGUCUUGGGGGCAGGGCUUCUGGCUAUAUACACAAUUUCUAUGUCUGUGAGGCUGAUUCAAAUACUUGGGUCUUUCCAAUUUCAAGUUACAUAUACCUAGCCCUGGCAACUUUUCUUGGAAACCAUGUAAUUCCACCUACUAACCACUUUCUUUGUACAGUCAGUGAUCAUCAAUUGCAAUAUCAGUACAUCCUUUUCUUUUAUAAUUUGAUUCGAGGCAAUAAACAUAUUUGCUAUUUGCUUCCAAUAUUUUUUCUUCAAG
RNAcentral lists this unclassified non-coding RNA (2538 nucleotides) under Hevea brasiliensis (rubber tree). The record is from RNAcentral. Lineage: Eukaryota; Viridiplantae; Streptophyta; Magnoliopsida; Malpighiales; Euphorbiaceae.